This 253-nucleotide ribosomal RNA is filed under the name uncultured bacterium. RNAcentral describes it as "partial 16S ribosomal RNA". It matches the Rfam family "Bacterial small subunit ribosomal RNA", at positions 524 to 776 of the family's 1533-position model. The record is from RNAcentral.
UACGUAGGGGGCGAGCGUUGUCCGGAUUCAUUGGGCGUAAAGAGCUCGUAGGCGGCUCGUUGCGUCGGCUGUGAAAACCCGCAGCUCAACUGUGGGCUUGCAGCUGAUACGGGCGGGCUGGAGUUCGGUAGGGGAGACUGGAAUUCCUGGUGUAGCGGUGAAAUGCGCAGAUAUCAGGAGGAACACCGGUGGCGAAGGCGGGUCUCUGGGCCGAUACUGACGCUGAGGAGCGAAAGCGUGGGGAGCGAACAGG